Long non-coding RNA from Gallus gallus (chicken), 1138 nucleotides. Lineage: Eukaryota; Metazoa; Chordata; Aves; Galliformes; Phasianidae. The record is from Ensembl.
AGAGGAUGUGCAAGAGACAGGUCCUGUUCUCAGUCUGAGAAGUUUUAAAUUUAUAGUUUCCACCACAGUAGGCAGUUUCCUCCUGGAAAGGGACAGUUAUUCUAACACUUCACUGGGUUGCCCAGAAAAGAAAGGGUUGCUGUUCGAAGUUGAGCAAUAGGAUGCACUGACUUUUUAGGUUCACCGCUAACUGAACGCAACUAUAGAGUCAAAAAGAGAGGCUGAGAGGCUGAGGAAAGACUGAAAGAGAGCUCUUAGUCCAGCUGGAGUCAAUGAAGAGAGAGAGUCAUUGCCAGAGAGUGAUAAAGGGUGCAGCCACCUUCACCCGCAGCUAACUCAAACUGUGUUGAAAUGGGGAUUGAUGCCGUGAUGGAAACAAUCAAGUGGAGCGGCUCACACUGCAGCCGAUUUCAAAGGCAUUCCUUUUCCAGGCCAUCAGCCGCUGCAGCCACACGGGAAGCGUUUCCUGAUUUUACCACUACUGAGCAGCAGCCUGAUGGUGUUUAUGUAUUCAGGACCCCACCGGUGAGGAGACCUGCUGCCCCAGCACACCAGAAGCGCCAUCAGGAGGAACUGGUACAAUUGACAAUGGAGCUGUUCACAGCACUGGGGCUGUGAGUCCAUCAAGCAUCCUCUCUAUUAUGUUUAUUGCUCAUUACUCAGUUUUAAAGAGGCCCUUUUUUAUCCCGGAGAAUUUAACUGAAAUAUUGGCUUUUCUGAUAUUUUUCUUGCUCAGCAAAAAUAACAUCAGGUUUGAAUGACAUCAGCGGGUCCAAGAGUUCGCUGGUGAUGUUGAUGUUAGAACGGUGCUACUUAUAACAGCUUAUAAACUGCUACACCACAGACUGACAAACAUUUACCCCUUCUUACACUAACAGAAGCUGCCAUGUCAUUCUGUGUCCCAUUUUUAGCUCUGUUCAGAGCCCCUCAUCUUAUACUUUGAUUGCAUAUUAUCUGAGUCUGAAAACAUAUACUUUUUGUUUGUGGUUUCCAGCUGAGAUAGUAGCACUGCAAGUAAGUUUACCUCAAAACUUCAGCCUGACAUCGUAGCUCUAGCGCUAAGCCAGAGAUGUUCCAAACUUUUCCACGGCAAAUGGAUGUCAAACACAAAUGGGAUUUAGUUGAUCCUGUGAGAAAG